AUGAUAGGAAACGAAAUGGAGCCUCAUGCCGGAAGUUCUGUCAAAUUUGUCUUGCUAAAUGGAUCAAUGGGUAAAUCAUUUUAGACCGAUGAACUGUCCAACUGGGAAAUUUUCCAUAGUGGAUUUAGAAUACAGAUAACAACAAGUGAUUCGCUUAGUGAUACCAAAGCUCAUUGGUCCUACGGACUACGACAAAUCAAGAAACUGAAGAACUUAAUAAUUACCGACCGGUAACCGUGAAUACAUUCACCAAGUGCCAAGUAUGAAAGACCUACCCGAACUUAAAGAUUGGAUUGCAGAAAAGAUAUAACAAAUUGAUUUACAGUAUUUCAGUAUUUGGUACAAACAAGUGCAUGCUCUCACUUUAAAGAUGAAUGGGUAGAGAGAAAAGUUUAUUAAGUUAUCCAUGGAUUUUGAAAAAAUAAAGACAAAAAUUAACCGUUUCUGCAAGUUUUGUCUCACUUGUAAACAUACUGUCUAUUUCGUUUAUUUCGCAGCAAUUAUUUAUGAAAAAAAUUAUUCCAAAAUAGUUUGUAAUUUCUAGAAGUUUUAUUCAUCCUAUUAGAAUUUCUAAUAUUUUGUAUAAUUCUAGUUACAAGAUCUGUCUUAAAUGAUGAAAUAUAGCUUUUAUCAUAUCUGUA
Long non-coding RNA from Xenia sp. Carnegie-2017, 641 nucleotides. RefSeq lists it as uncharacterized. The transcript is spliced from 2 exons. The record is from RefSeq and is a predicted model, not a curated record. NCBI's taxonomy places the organism in Eukaryota, Metazoa, Cnidaria, Anthozoa, Malacalcyonacea, Xeniidae.